This 253-nucleotide ribosomal RNA is filed under the name uncultured bacterium. Its description in RNAcentral is "partial 16S ribosomal RNA". It matches the Rfam family "Bacterial small subunit ribosomal RNA", at positions 524 to 776 of the family's 1533-position model. The record is from RNAcentral.
UACGGGGGGGGCAAGCGUUGUUCGGAAUUACUGGGCGUAAAGGGCUUGUAGGUGGCCAACUAAGUCAGACGUGAAAUCCCUCGGCUUAACCGGGGAACUGCGUCUGAGACUGGAUGGCUUGAGUGUUGGAGAGGGAUGCGGAAUUCCAGGUGUAGCGGUGAAAUGCGCAGAUAUCAGGAGGAACACCAAUGGCGAAGGCAGCUCGCUGGGACGGUACUGACGCUGAGACGCGAAAGCGUGGGGAGCGAACAGG